ACUUAUUUAAGCUCUGAAAACUGGUUGAAAUAUUGCACUGACUUAGAGAUGACAGGAGUAGCUCCUCCCAAUCAACUGUAGCACAGUCAGACUGCAAUCUCUGGCUCAUGUGUAAAUAGUCACCAUUUUGGUAGGUGGUCUAUUUCUAGUGCUCUUACUAUUUUAUUUCAAAACAUGGAAACAGUAAAGCUAACUGAUUCUUUCUACCACCUCUUUCUGUGUGUCAGGUUACAUUACCCUUUUCAAGUGUCAAUGUUUCUUCUUUUCUCUCUCACAGAAAAUGUAUUAAUAGACCUCUGGGCUGAUGAUUGCUUUUGGUACUGGAAAAUGCUGUAUGAGGCUUCUCAGCUGUUUCAGAGAUCCCUGACAUGUCCUGACAGAUGUCUGAACUGGGAGACCAAGAAUAUGCUUUUCACUGCAGCAAAUCCCAGCAGUCACAUCAUGUUGGGUGAAAAGGAGCCAAUUUAUGUCAGGGUGUAAAACAGAAUACACCUCUUUGGCGUUGGACUUGAUGAUCGUCGUGGGUUCCUUCCAACUUGGCUUAUUCUAUGACUCUUUGAUCCCAGAAUUGUGUUCUUCUAAACAUCAUAGUCUUCACCAAAUGCUUCAAUGAAAUAGUUGGAAAAUGUUUGUAAUAUUGGCAGAUAUUGUUUCCUUUACUUCAGUUUUGAAACAACUUAGCCAGUUUCAGUACAACCUUGUAAGAAUUACAAAGAAACAAAAUAAAAACACACAUACUGAGUCUAAAGCA
This 751-nucleotide long non-coding RNA is filed under the name Anas platyrhynchos platyrhynchos (common mallard). RNAcentral describes it as "lncRNA (ENSAPLG00000030958.1)". Lineage: Eukaryota; Metazoa; Chordata; Aves; Anseriformes; Anatidae. The record is from RNAcentral.